Long non-coding RNA from Tympanuchus pallidicinctus (lesser prairie-chicken), 633 nucleotides. RefSeq lists it as uncharacterized. Lineage: Eukaryota; Metazoa; Chordata; Aves; Galliformes; Phasianidae. The transcript is spliced from 3 exons. The record is from RefSeq and is a predicted model, not a curated record.
UGGGAGCAGAGCUGGUGCUCUAGUGAGCGUGGUGCACACUGAGACCGAGCUCUGUGCUGUCAUGGAGAGAUCUUCCUGUGAGAGCCCACUGGAAGCAGCGCUGCGGCGUGUGUGAGAGCUGGGCACAGCUCCGGCUGAGCAGUGGCCAGGUGCAAAACUAUGGAGGAGAUGGAGAAGAACGCUUGCUGUCAGAACUCAUGGCAGCUGCACGGGAGCUGGGUGUAUUUGGGAGACAGUUCUCAUUAGUAGUUGGUUUGGAGUAUUGCCCUGCCCGAUAGCUUAAACUGCAUAGCAGAGGAAAGCUGGGAAAAUGCUUUUUCCUGUUUUUCACUUGCAGGUUCUUUCUUCAGGGUUGGUUUACAAAAGGAGGUGUUGGGGACUGAGGCAGUUGAAGAGUGAAGCCAGCUCUUUCCACCAGCGGGGGGUCAGUCCCUGUGGAGAGGACCCCAGGAACGUGAGCUUCCUCUGAGACGUUCCCCACAUGUCCCAGCAGGGACACAGACGCGGUUCCCAUUCCUGCUUUGCGCGUGGAAAGAAGCAGCGCCGUGCUGUUCCCCAUGCUAGGGAGCAGCAGCCAGCAGGCUGCCCCAGUGCCAGCUGGGCCUUGCAGCGCGCAGAGGGACGCGAUGGGGA